GCCCGUUGAGCUCCGUUGGUAGAGCAGCCGACUCUUACUGCCUCUUCUGGCGAUCGGCAGGUCGUGGGUUCGAUCCCCACAAUGGGCU
This is a non-coding RNA of Filobasidium floriforme, 88 nucleotides long. NCBI's taxonomy places the organism in Eukaryota, Fungi, Basidiomycota, Tremellomycetes, Filobasidiales, Filobasidiaceae. The record is from the annotation of a RefSeq genome assembly.